RNAcentral lists this ribosomal RNA (472 nucleotides) under uncultured bacterium. Its description in RNAcentral is "bacterial SSU rRNA". It matches the Rfam family "Bacterial small subunit ribosomal RNA", at positions 8 to 524 of the family's 1533-position model. The record is from RNAcentral.
AGAGUUUGAUCCUGGCUCAGAGCGAACGCUGGCGGCAGGCUUAACACAUGCAAGUCGAGCGGGCGUAGCAAUACGUCAGCGGCAGACGGGUGAGUAACGCGUGGGAACGUACCUUUUGGUUCGGAACAACACAGGGAAACUUGUGCUAAUACCGGAUAAGCCCUUACGGGGAAAGAUUUAUCGCCGAAAGAUCGGCCCGCGUCUGAUUAGCUAGUUGGUAGGGUAAUGGCCUACCAAGGCGACGAUCAGUAGCUGGUCUGAGAGGAUGAUCAGCCACAUUGGGACUGAGACACGGCCCAAACUCCUACGGGAGGCAGCAGUGGGGAAUAUUGGACAAUGGGGGCAACCCUGAUCCAGCCAUGCCGCGUGAGUGAUGAAGGCCCUAGGGUUGUAAAGCUCUUUUGUGCGGGAAGAUAAUGACGGUACCGCAAGAAUAAGCCCCGGCUAACUUCGUGCCAGCAGCCGCGGUAAU